UAGGGAAUCUUCGGCAAUGGGGGGAACCCUGACCGAGCAACGCCGCGUGAGUGAAGAAGGUUUUCGGAUCGUAAAGCUCUGUUGUUAGAGAAGAACAGCGCAUAGAGUAACUGUUAUGCGUGUGACGGUAUCUAACCAGAAAGCCACGGCUAACUACGUGCCAGCAGCCGCGGUAAUACGUAGGUGACAAGCGUUGUCCGGAUUUAUUGGGCGUAAAGCGAGCGCAGGCGGUCAAUUAAGUCUGAUGUGAAAGCCCCCGGCUCAACCGGGGAGGGUCAUUGGAAACUGGUUGACUUGAGUGCAGAAGAGGAGAGUGGAAUUCCAUGUGUAGCGGUGAAAUGCGUAGAUAUAUGGAGGAACACCAGUGGCGAAGGCGACUCUCUGGUCUGUAACUGACGCUGAGGCUCGAAAGCGUGGGUAGCAAACAGG
RNAcentral lists this ribosomal RNA (429 nucleotides) under Bacteroidota bacterium. RNAcentral's name for it is "Bacteroidetes bacterium partial 16S ribosomal RNA". It matches the Rfam family "Bacterial small subunit ribosomal RNA", at positions 355 to 776 of the family's 1533-position model. The record is from RNAcentral. Lineage: Bacteria; Pseudomonadati; Bacteroidota.